UGAGGAAUAUUGGUCAAUGGGCGCAAGCCUGAACCAGCCAUGCCGCGUGCAGGAUGAAGCAUCUAUGGUGUGUAAACUGCUUUUGUACGGGAAGAAACCACCCUUCGUGAGGGGUCUUGACGGUACCGUAAGAAUAAGGAUCGGCUAACUCCGUGCCAGCAGCCGCGGUAAUACGGAGGAUCCAAGCGUUAUCCGGAAUCAUUGGGUUUAAAGGGUCCGUAGGCGGUUUAAUAAGUCAGUGGUGAAAGCCCAUCGCUCAACGAUGGAACGGCCAUUGAUACUGCUAGACGUGAAUUAGUAGGGAGUAACUAGAAUAUGUAGUGUAGCGGUGAAAUGCUUAGAUAUUACAUGGAAUACCAAUUGCGAAGGCAGGUUACUACUAAUGGAUGGGCGCUGAUGGACGAAAGCGUGGGGAGCGAACA
RNAcentral lists this ribosomal RNA (422 nucleotides) under uncultured bacterium. RNAcentral's name for it is "bacterial SSU rRNA". It matches the Rfam family "Bacterial small subunit ribosomal RNA", at positions 355 to 774 of the family's 1533-position model. The record is from RNAcentral.